Molecule: non-coding RNA, 28 nt
Filed under: Rattus norvegicus (Norway rat)
Lineage: Eukaryota; Metazoa; Chordata; Mammalia; Rodentia; Muridae
Source: RNAcentral
UGUCCACGUCUACACCGGCUUUGCCUCA